This 253-nucleotide ribosomal RNA is filed under the name uncultured bacterium. RNAcentral describes it as "partial 16S ribosomal RNA". It matches the Rfam family "Bacterial small subunit ribosomal RNA", at positions 524 to 776 of the family's 1533-position model. The record is from RNAcentral.
UACGGAGGGGGCUAGCGUUGUUCGGAAUUACUGGGCGUAAAGCGCACGUAGGCGGCGAUUUAAGUCAGGGGUGAAAGCCCGGAGCUCAACUCCGGAACUGCCCUUGAGACUGGAUUGCUAGAAUCUUGGAGAGGCGAGUGGAAUUCCGAGUGUAGAGGUGAAAUUCGUAGAUAUUCGGAAGAACACCAGUGGCGAAGGCGGCUCGCUGGACAAGUAUUGACGCUGAGGUGCGAAAGCGUGGGGAGCAAACAGG